GGCUCAGGACGAACGCUGGCGGCGCGCCUAACACAUGCAAGUCGAACGGGACUAUUUUGGGAGAAGUUUUCGGAUGGAUCUCGGGAUAGUUUAGUGGCGGACGGGUGAGUAACACGUGAGCAACCUACCUUCGAGAGGGGAAUAACGGCUGGAAACGGUCGCUAAUACCGCAUAACAUACUGGAGGGACAUCCCUUUGGUAUCAAAGAUUUUAUCGCUCGGAGAUGGGCUCGCGUCCGAUUAGGUAGUUGGUGAGGUAACGGCUCACCAAGCCGACGAUCGGUAGCCGGACUGAGAGGUCGAACGGCCACAUUGGGACUGAGACACGGCCCAGACUCCUACGGGAGGCAGCAGUGGGGGAUAUUGCACAAUGGGGGAAACCCUGAUGCAGCGACGCCGCGUGUGGGAAGACGGUCCUCUGGAUUGUAAACCACUGUCCCCAGGGACGAAGAUGACGGUACCUGGGGAGGAAGCUCCGGCUAACUACGUGCCAGCAGCCGCGGUAAUACGUAGGGAGCGAG
Molecule: ribosomal RNA, 520 nt
Filed under: uncultured bacterium
Lineage: Bacteria
Description: bacterial SSU rRNA
Rfam family: Bacterial small subunit ribosomal RNA
Source: RNAcentral